GGUUAAGCGACUAAGCGUACACGGUGGAUGCCCUGGCAGUCAGAGGCGAUGAAGGACGUGCUAAUCUGCGAUAAGCGUCGGUAAGGUGAUAUGAACCGUUAUAACCGGCGAUUUCCGAAUGGGGAAACCCAGUGUGAUUCGUCACACUAUCAUUAACUGAAUCCAUAGGUUAAUGAGGCGAACCGGGGGAACUGAAACAUCUAAGUACCCCGAGGAAAAGAAAUCAACCGAGAUUCCCCCAGUAGCGGCGAGCGAACGGGGAGCAGCCCAGAGCCUGAAUCAGUGUGUGUGUUAGUGGAAGCGUCUGGAAAGGCGCGCGAUACAGGGUGACAGCCCCGUACACAAAAAUGCACAUGCUGUGAGCUCGAUGAGUAGGGCGGGACACGUGGUAUCCUGUCUGAAUAUGGGGGGACCAUCCUCCAAGGCUAAAUACUCCUGACUGACCGAUAGUGAACCAGUACCGUGAGGGAAAGGCGAAAAGAACCCCGGCGAGGGGAGUGAAAAAGAACCUGAAACCGUGUACGUACAAGCAGUGGGAGCACGCUUAGGCGUGUGACUGCGUACCUUUUGUAUAAUGGGUCAGCGACUUAUAUUCUGUAGCAAGGUUAACCGAAUAGGGGAGCCGAAGGGAAACCGAGUCUUAACUGGGCGUUAAGUUGCAGGGUAUAGACCCGAAACCCGGUGAUCUAGCCAUGGGCAGGUUGAAGGUUGGGUAACACUAACUGGAGGACCGAACCGACUAAUGUUGAAAAAUUAGCGGAUGACUUGUGGCUGGGGGUGAAAGGCCAAUCAAACCGGGAGAUAGCUGGUUCUCCCCGAAAGCUAUUUAGGUAGCGCCUCGUGAAUUCAUCUCCGGGGGUAGAGCACUGUUUCGGCAAGGGGGUCAUCCCGACUUACCAACCCGAUGCAAACUGCGAAUACCGGAGAAUGUUAUCACGGGAGACACACGGCGGGUGCUAACGUCCGUCGUGAAGAGGGAAACAACCCAGACCGCCAGCUAAGGUCCCAAAGUCAUGGUUAAGUGGGAAACGAUGUGGGAAGGCCCAGACAGCCAGGAUGUUGGCUUAGAAGCAGCCAUCAUUUAAAGAAAGCGUAAUAGCUCACUGGUCGAGUCGGCCUGCGCGGAAGAUGUAACGGGGCUAAACCAUGCACCGAAGCUGCGGCAGCGACGCUGAUGCGUUGUUGGGUAGGGGAGCGUUCUGUAAGCCUGCGAAGGUGUGCUGUGAGGCAUGCUGGAGGUAUCAGAAGUGCGAAUGCUGACAUAAGUAACGAUAAAGCGGGUGAAAAGCCCGCUCGCCGGAAGACCAAGGGUUCCUGUCCAACGUUAAUCGGGGCAGGGUGAGUCGACCCCUAAGGCGAGGCCGAAAGGCGUAGUCGAUGGGAAACAGGUUAAUAUUCCUGUACUUGGUGUUACUGCGAAGGGGGGACGGAGAAGGCUAUGUUGGCCGGGCGACGGUUGUCCCGGUUUAAGCGUGUAGGCUGGUUUUCCAGGCAAAUCCGGAAAAUCAAGGCUGAGGCGUGAUGACGAGGCACUACGGUGCUGAAGCAACAAAUGCCCUGCUUCCAGGAAAAGCCUCUAAGCAUCAGGUAACAUCAAAUCGUACCCCAAACCGACACAGGUGGUCAGGUAGAGAAUACCAAGGCGCUUGAGAGAACUCGGGUGAAGGAACUAGGCAAAAUGGUGCCGUAACUUCGGGAGAAGGCACGCUGAUAUGUAGGUGAAGUCCCUCGCGGAUGGAGCUGAAAUCAGUCGAAGAUACCAGCUGGCUGCAACUGUUUAUUAAAAACACAGCACUGUGCAAACACGAAAGUGGACGUAUACGGUGUGACGCCUGCCCGGUGCCGGAAGGUUAAUUGAUGGGGUUAGCGCAAGCGAAGCUCCUGAUCGAAGCCCCGGUAAACGGCGGCCGUAACUAUAACGGUCCUAAGGUAGCGAAAUUCCUUGUCGGGUAAGUUCCGACCUGCACGAAUGGCGUAAUGAUGGCCAGGCUGUCUCCACCCGAGACUCAGUGAAAUUGAACUCGCUGUGAAGAUGCAGUGUACCCGCGGCAAGACGGAAAGACCCCGUGAACCUUUACUAUAGCUUGACACUGAACAUUGAGCCUUGAUGUGUAGGAUAGGUGGGAGGCUUUGAAGUGUGGACGCCAGUCUGCAUGGAGCCGACCUUGAAAUACCACCCUUUAAUGUUUGAUGUUCUAACGUUGACCCGUAAUCCGGGUUGCGGACAGUGUCUGGUGGGUAGUUUGACUGGGGCGGUCUCCUCCUAAAGAGUAACGGAGGAGCACGAAGGUUGGCUAAUCCUGGUCGGACAUCAGGAGGUUAGUGCAAUGGCAUAAGCCAGCUUGACUGCGAGCGUGACGGCGCGAGCAGGUGCGAAAGCAGGUCAUAGUGAUCCGGUGGUUCUGAAUGGAAGGGCCAUCGCUCAACGGAUAAAAGGUACUCCGGGGAUAACAGGCUGAUACCGCCCAAGAGUUCAUAUCGACGGCGGUGUUUGGCACCUCGAUGUCGGCUCAUCACAUCCUGGGGCUGAAGUAGGUCCCAAGGGUAUGGCUGUUCGCCAUUUAAAGUGGUACGCGAGCUGGGUUUAGAACGUCGUGAGACAGUUCGGUCCCUAUCUGCCGUGGGCGCUGGAGAACUGAGGGGGGCUGCUCCUAGUACGAGAGGACCGGAGUGGACGCAUCACUGGUGUUCGGGUUGUCAUGCCAAUGGCACUGCCCGGUAGCUAAAUGCGGAAGAGAUAAGUGCUGAAAGCAUCUAAGCACGAAACUUGCCCCGAGAUGAGUUCUCCCUGACUCCUUGAGAGUCCUGAAGGAACGUUGAAGACGACGACGUUGAUAGGCCGGGUGUGUAAGCGCAGCGAUGCGUUGAGCUAACCGGUACUAAUGAACCGUGAGGCUUAACCUU
This 2904-nucleotide ribosomal RNA is filed under the name Escherichia coli. RNAcentral describes it as "23S ribosomal RNA". It matches the Rfam family "Bacterial large subunit ribosomal RNA". Lineage: Bacteria; Pseudomonadati; Pseudomonadota; Gammaproteobacteria; Enterobacterales; Enterobacteriaceae. The record is from RNAcentral.